This is a long non-coding RNA of Homo sapiens (human), 798 nucleotides long. Lineage: Eukaryota; Metazoa; Chordata; Mammalia; Primates; Hominidae. The record is from Ensembl.
CCAUUUCUUCCCACCUUCUACUCCCAGGCUGGAGUGCAGUGGUGCAGUCUCAGCUCACUAUAGCCUCAACCUCCUAGGCUCACAGUGAUCCUCCCACCUCAGCCUCCCAAGUAGUAGUUGGGACUACAGGGAGAAGUUGAAAGAGGGAGGGAAGAGGAGGGAGAAGGCACACGGAAGCGAAAAAUGGAGCCCGGCAUUACCCUCCCCACUUUGCUUGCUAAGCUGCAGUGCAGAAGGCACCACUACUGCGCCCCCCAGCAUGCUUUUUGGAGAGGACUGGAGCACACUGGGACGUUCAUGUGAGAAUCUGCAUGUGCCCCUUUCUGGAAUUUGAGGGAAGUACAUGGACGCAGCCUGCGUCUUGCUCCUACAUUUCCUUAGACAUGUCUGAAAGCCAGAGAGUGGCUGGCUGGAGCAGUUGGUCCCAUCGGGGAAAAGAAGGAACAUGCACAGCAUGAGGGGAAUGGGAGAGAAAGAAGUGACUGCACAAUGCUGCUGUUUCUGUGGCUCCAUGUGACACAAUACACAGGUGGGAGGAUGAGGUGGACAUAGUAGGGAUGCCCAGGCAAUAGCCCGAGCAGUGGAUGCCCCAUCUGGAGAGAGGAAGUCAGGGAAGAGGACUGCCUUCAGGAGACAAAGGAGAUACAGCUAUGUGUCUCUAAGAAUCCUCAUGGAUGAUGGCCAUGCGCAGUGGCUCACGCCUGUAGUCCCCAGCACUUUGGGAAGCUGAGGCGGGUGAAUCACCUGAGGUCAGGAGUUUGAGACAAGCCUGGCCAACAUAGCGAAACCUUGUCUCUA